This is a long non-coding RNA of Carassius carassius (crucian carp), 2010 nucleotides long. RefSeq lists it as uncharacterized. The transcript is spliced from 4 exons. The record is from RefSeq and is a predicted model, not a curated record. Lineage: Eukaryota; Metazoa; Chordata; Actinopteri; Cypriniformes; Cyprinidae.
GAGUCUAAUCCUGUUAAAGCGUCGAGCAGUCAGGUGUUCUGUAAUGUGCUGAGACAAGAGAGAUCAGGUGGUUGAUUCAGCGCUGGGCUAGAUUUAUUCUCCAUGGAGAGAGCUGUGAUCAUCUCACUAUUUUGGGUUCUUGGCACAUGUGUUUUUCAACUUUCAACCUUUUUCCAGCUUAAAAUAUAGUUACUUUAUUCCUGGUUCUGAGUCAUCUAAUCUCUCUCCUCCUAUAUCUGAAUCUGUUGACAGGAGUGGAAGUCCUGACUGAGUUAGCAGACUGACCUCUGACCCUUCAAGGAAACUUACAUUUAAAUCUAAGAACUUCCUGAGAAGAGGAAAACAUCCAGUCUGUGAUGAAUGUCCUUUUUACCUUUUGUGUCACAUAUUACUCGAUCCAGAUGCAGUGAAGUGCAGAAACAAGCUCAUGAAAAAUCCACACGUCACCAUCUCGCUCAACUCAAAUUAAAAGUUCAACAUCCCCGAAAAACAACUGCAACUGUCCCAGACACGUGAACACUGCAUUCUGAUGAAAGACUUCAUUUAGGAGCCAAGACCUUUGCAGUUUCCUGUUGAUAGUGGAUCACAGCUGGAGGUCAAAGGUCAUCUGUAUGUGUGUGUAUCUGUGUCACCCAACACUCUGACAAAGUGUCUUUCAUUUUUCAUUCUGUCCAACAUCACUGAUUAAACUAUAAACAGACCUUUUUGCAGGACUGCUAAAGAGUGAGAUCCUGAAACCAAUUUUAUCAACAAUAUUUUCAUCCUUUUGAUAAUUUAAUUAUGUUUUUCCUUGUGAAAACUUACAAGACAUUGUAUCACAGCAACAUAAAUAAAAAGAUAAUAUACAUCAUAUUAAGCAACUUUUUUUUUAGUGGCUUAAUAUAAGAAAAAUUCCACAUAUGUGCUGCCACAACAUUAAUUUCUAGGUGCAGUAUUAUGGAUAAUUUAGGUAAAUGAAGUACAGUAAAUGCUACACAACAGAUCAAAAUAGACAGUUUUAUUGAAAUCACUCAUUCUACGUCAGCAGUUAUUGUUUUAGCAGUUAGAUUUAUACUGUGUAUGAAGUUUUUAAAAGGUAUCGUCCAAUUUAUUUACUUGCCAAAGCUAAUUUCACUUGCUGAAUGUUCAUUUUGGAGCAUGUUUGAACUUCACAUGUAGGUCUGUCCAGAUUUGCUCCUUUGAAAUCAUGAAGUCUGAUGCCAGCAAAAUGACUUCAGAAUGUUCUUAUGAGCCCCAUCCAAAAAAAUCAGCUGGUUUGUUGUUUCACUUCAGUCGUCCUUUCAAGUUUUCCAAUGAUCCGAUCACAGAGACUGAUGGAGAAGUUGAGCGUGGAUCUGAAGAUGUGGGGGAGGUGAGAGAGGAGUAUGUCGGGGAUUUCUCACGUGACUUGGGUCUACUCGUGUUAAUCAGGUUCAGUUAAACACAAGCACACUAGCGCCUGGAUUGCAUUGGACACGCAGAUAAUGUUAAGAAUGAAACCAGUAGGGGUGAAGCAGAAGAAAAGAGCCAGAUCAAAGACAGAUUGAAAGUAUGAUAGAUUCCUCCCCUGAUGUUUGUCAGUAAAGAGACAUGAUGGACUUUAAAGAGAGAAGGAGAAGAAGGUGUUGGAGGACACGUUCUGCCUGUUUUUGUCUCGCAGACAUACAGUGGAGCCCAAAAGCUUUAGCCCACUAGUGAAAAUGCUUUCUUUUUUAAAUUAUAUGGUUAAUAGAAUUUAAAUACUCUAAUGUCUGCUUAAUAUGCAGAUACGACUGUAAUAAAGCCAAUUAUGACAUUUUCAAAACUUUGUUUUGGUUUCAAAUGGCCUGACACAGCAAAAUUGACCAAUAGUGUGAGUUUGGGGUGGGGCUAUCUGUUUAGCUGACCAGUGGAACAUGGAGGAGUGGUUGGGAAACCUCCUCGAUAACAAUCAUUAUUUUGCAAAUUUGUUUGGAGAUGUUGGUGGUGCAGAAUGUACGUAAUUUUAAUGGCAAAUUAUGUUUUCAGGAUGCCAAUUUAAAGGAAAUUAUG